Long non-coding RNA from Pezoporus flaviventris, 904 nucleotides. RefSeq lists it as uncharacterized. The transcript is spliced from 2 exons. The record is from RefSeq and is a predicted model, not a curated record. Lineage: Eukaryota; Metazoa; Chordata; Aves; Psittaciformes; Psittacidae.
CUGCUCAUCAAAUAGGCACCCAUUUUGCUUAUGUACCUAUUCCAUUUUUUUACAAGAAUCUCUUCCUAUAGGGAAAUUUCCAAGAAAGAGGCUCUGGUUUCUCUAAUCAGCAAACCCACAAAGUCUGUCUGUCAUGUGGCUAAUAAAAAACUGAAUAAGCAUCCUCCGAGACCUUGGCACUGUUCACCAUCCUAAGGUUAUACACAGUUUAACUGCAGCUUUUUGCAUAAGAGCUUGAAAUACAGCAGGAAAAAUACCUUUAUCCCCACUGUUUUCUUUACAGUCAGUGACAGAAACAGGCACUGUAAGGAUGGGGUUCAUCUAAUCAAGUCCAUAGCACUGCAGGAGGAGAUAAACCACGCUGCAGGCUCCACUGACAAAGCUGAUUAGAUCUCUGUUGGCCCUAAAAGGGAGGCUCGUGAUCUGAAGACGUUUGUGUGUUAGCUACCAAUUCUCAGGCAUGAAUCCCUCCCUUAUUGUGGAGCUGAGGCUGUGGUUUCAUGAUCAGCAUCAGCAGCUGUGGGUUGCUGCCAGUUCUCUGUCGCACACUUUUCCCUGCCCUAAUCACAUGGCUCCAUGCGUCAGCUCCAGCAGUCCUGCAGCCUUGGUAAAUAGGAAUAAGUUGCUGAACUGGCUGAAAACUAAUGCUGAAGAUGAAGAAUUUGGUUUUGUUUGCACUGCCAGGCAGAGCCGAUGCCCCUCAUAGCGUAUGUCCUAACUCCUAGCUCUAAGGUCUGCUUGGGGACAGGAAUGUCAUUUCUGAAGAGGAAAAGUGAACUGCCCUUUUUCGGAACUGGGUUUUACUUGGACCAGCUUAAGUUGACCACAAAACAGCCUCUGUGGAAGGCAGUUCUGAAAAUGAACAGAUUUACUUGCAGAGUGUAAAGUUAACAUGUUUAUGGUU